UAUCMAACCCUGUGAAACAUACCUAAAACGUUGCUUCGGCGGGAACAGACGGCCCUGUAACAACGGGCCGCCCCCGCCAGAGGACCCCUAACUCUGUUUUUAUAAUGUUUUUCUGAGUAAACAAGCAAAUAAAUUAAAACUUUCAACAACGGAUCUCUUGGCUCUGGCAUCGAUGAAGAACGCAGCGAAAUGCGAUAAGUAAUGUGAAUUGCAGAAUUCAGUGAAUCAUCGAAUCUUUGAACGCACAUUGCGCCCGCCAGUAUUCUGGCGGGCAUGCCUGUUCGAGCGUCAUUACAACCCUCAGGCCCCCGGGCCUGGCGUUGGGGAUCGGCAGAAGCCCCCUGUGGGCACACGCCGUCCCUCAAAUACAGUGGCGGUCCCGCCGCAGCUUCCAUUGCGUAGUAGCUAACACCUCGCAACUGGAGAGCGGCGCGGCCAUGCCGUAAAACACCCAACUUCUGAAUGUUGACCUCGAAUCAGGUAGGAAUACCCGCUGAACUUAAGCAUAUCAAUAAGCGGAGGGASWU
RNAcentral lists this ribosomal RNA (527 nucleotides) under Fusarium oxysporum. RNAcentral describes it as "eukaryotic LSU rRNA". Lineage: Eukaryota; Fungi; Ascomycota; Sordariomycetes; Hypocreales; Nectriaceae. The record is from RNAcentral.